This 576-nucleotide ribosomal RNA is filed under the name uncultured eukaryote. RNAcentral describes it as "SSU rRNA". It matches the Rfam family "Eukaryotic small subunit ribosomal RNA", at positions 203 to 790 of the family's 1831-position model. The record is from RNAcentral.
UAUUUAUUAGAUAACAGACCAAUAUUCCUCGUGUCUAUUGUGGUGACUCAUAGUAACUGAUCGGAUCGCAUGGCCUUGUGCCGCGACUAACCAUUCAAGUUUCUGACCCAUCAGCUUUCGAUGGUAGUGUAUUGGACUACCAUGGCUUUCACGGGUAACGGAGGAUUAGGGUUCGAUUCCGGAGAGGGAGCCUGAGAAACGGCUACCACAUCUAAGGAAGGCAGCAGGCGCGUAAAUUACCCAAUCCUGACUCAGGGAGGUAGUGACAAGAAAUAACGGGUCGGGGCAUUCGCCUCGGGAUUGCAAUGAAUCGAAUUUACACCCCUUAAUGAGGAUCAAUUGGAGGGCAAGUCUGGUGCCAGCAGCCGCGGUAAUUCCAGCUCCAAUAGCGUAUAUUAAAGUUGUUGCAGUUAAAAAGCUCGUAGUUUGAUUUCUGGACGGGCGCCGACACCCGCUUGUUUAGUGUGGAGGCGGCGCCCGCCCAUCCUUCUGUUAACGCCACCGGCAUUCGUUUGCUGGCGGCGGGCUCAGAUAUUUUACCUUGAGAAAAUUAGAGUGUUUUCAGGCAGGCUUGCG